RNAcentral lists this ribosomal RNA (406 nucleotides) under uncultured bacterium. RNAcentral's name for it is "bacterial SSU rRNA". It matches the Rfam family "Bacterial small subunit ribosomal RNA", at positions 355 to 776 of the family's 1533-position model. The record is from RNAcentral.
UGAGGAAUCUUCCACAAUGGGCGAAAGCCUGAUGGAGCAACGCCGCGUGCAGGAUGAAGGCCUUCGGGUUGUAAACUGCUUUUAUAAGUGAGGAAUAUGACGGUAACUUAUGAAUAAGGAUCGGCUAACUACGUGCCAGCAGCCGCGGUCAUACGUAGGAUCCGAGCGUUAUCCGGAGUGACUGGGCGUAAAGAGUUGCGUAGGCGGUUUGUUAAGCGAAUAGUGAAACCUGGUGGCUCAACCAUACAGACUAUUAUUCGAACUGGCAAACUCGAGAGUGGUAGAGGUCACUGGAAUUUCUUGUGUAGGAGUGAAAUCCGUAGAUAUAAGAAGGAACACCGAUGGCGUAGGCAGGUGACUAGACCAUUUCUGACGCUAAGGCACGAAAGCGUGGGGAGCGAACCGG